UGGAAGGGCCAUCGCUCAACGGAUAAAAGCUACCCUGGGGAUAACAGGCUUAUCUCCCCCAAGAGUCCACAUCGACGGGGAGGUUUGGCACCUCGAUGUCGGCUCAUCACAUCCUGGGGCUGUAGUAGGUCCCAAGGGUUGGGCUGUUCGCCCAUUAAAGUGGUACGCGAGCUGGGUUCAGAACGUCGUGAGACAGUUCGGUCCCUAUCCGUCGCAGGCGUAGGAAAUUUGAGAAGACCUGUCCUUAGUACGAGAGGACCGGGAUGGACGUACCUCUGGUGUACCAGUUGUCCUGCCAAGGGCAUGGCUGGGUAGCUAUGUACGGAAUGGAUAAGCGCUGAAAGCAUCUAAGCGCGAAGCCAACUUCAAGAUAAGAUUUCCCACCGCAAGGGUAAGACCCCAGAAAGACUAUCUGGUUGAUAGGUCGAAGGUGUAAGUGCAGUAAUGUAUUUAGCUUAUCGAUACUAAUAGGUCGAGGACUUGACCAAU
RNAcentral lists this ribosomal RNA (489 nucleotides) under Clostridioides difficile. Its description in RNAcentral is "partial 23S ribosomal RNA". It matches the Rfam family "Bacterial large subunit ribosomal RNA", at positions 2434 to 2925 of the family's 2925-position model. Lineage: Bacteria; Bacillati; Bacillota; Clostridia; Peptostreptococcales; Peptostreptococcaceae. The record is from RNAcentral.